This 497-nucleotide ribosomal RNA is filed under the name uncultured bacterium. RNAcentral describes it as "partial 16S ribosomal RNA". It matches the Rfam family "Bacterial small subunit ribosomal RNA", at positions 28 to 507 of the family's 1533-position model. The record is from RNAcentral.
GAUGAACGCUGGCGGCGUGCCUAAUACAUGCAAGUCGAGCGAACAGACGAGGAGCUUGCUCCUCUGACGUUAGCGGCGGACGGGUGAGUAACACGUGGAUAACCUACCUAUAAGACUGGGAUAACUUCGGGAAACCGGAGCUAAUACCGGAUAAUAUAUUGAACCGCAUGGUUCAAUAGUGAAAGACGGUUUUGCUGUCACUUAUAGAUGGAUCCGCGCCGCAUUAGCUAGUUGGUAAGGUAACGGCUUACCAAGGCAACGAUGCGUAGCCGACCUGAGAGGGUGAUCGGCCACACGGGAACUGAGACACGGUCCAGACUCCUACGGGAGGCAGCAGUAGGGAAUCUUCCGCAAUGGGCGAAAGCCUGACGGAGCAACGCCGCGUGAGUGAUGAAGGUCUUCGGAUCGUAAAACCCUGUUAUUAGGGAAGAACAAAUGUGUAAGUAACUAUGCACGUCUUGACGGUACCUAAUCAGAAAGCCACGGCUAACUACGUG